UGGGGAAUAUUGGGCAAUGGGCGAAAGCCUGACCCAGCAACGCCGCGUGAGUGAAGAAGGCUUUCGGGUUGUAAAGCUCUGUUGUUGAGGACGAAGGAAGUGACGGUACUCAACAAGGAAGCCCCGGCUAACUACGUGCCAGCAGCCGCGGUAAUACGUAGGGAGCGAGCGCUGUCCGGAUUUACUGGGUGUAAAGGGUGCGUAGGCGGGAUAGCAAGUCAGAUGUGAAAUCCCGGGGCUUAACCCCGGAACUGCAUUUGAAACUGUUAUUCUUGAGUGAUGGAGAGGCAAGUGGAAUUCCUAGUGUAGCGGUGAAAUGCGUAGAUAUUAGGAGGAACACCAGUGGCGAAGGCGGCUUGCUGGGCUUUUACUGACGCUGAGGCUCGAAAGCGUGGGGAGC
Molecule: ribosomal RNA, 400 nt
Filed under: uncultured bacterium
Lineage: Bacteria
Description: bacterial SSU rRNA
Rfam family: Bacterial small subunit ribosomal RNA
Source: RNAcentral